GACGAACGCUGGCGGCGUGCUUAACACAUGCAAGUCGAACGGAAAGGCCCUGCUUUUGUUGGGUGCUCGAGUGGCGAACGGGUGAGUAACACGUGUGUAACCUGCCCUUGACUUUGGGAUAACUUCAGGAAACUGGGGCUAAUACCGGAUAGGAUCUCCUGCUGCAUGGUGUUGGUUGGAAAGUUUCGGCGGUUGGGGAUGGACUCGCGGCUUAUCAGCUUGUUGGUGGGGUAGUGGCUUACCAAGGCUUUGACGGGUAGCCGGCCUGAGAGGGUGACCGGCCACAUUGGGACUGAGAUACGGCCCAGAAUCCUACGGGAGGCAGCAGUCGGGAAUAUUGCACAAUGGGGGGAAGCCUGAUGCAGCAACGCCGCGUGCGGGAUGCCGGCCUUCGGGUUGUAAACCGAUUUCGCCUGUGACGAAGCGUGAGUGACGGUAAUGGGUAAAGAAGCAACGGCUAACUACGUG
RNAcentral lists this ribosomal RNA (468 nucleotides) under uncultured bacterium. RNAcentral's name for it is "partial 16S ribosomal RNA". It matches the Rfam family "Bacterial small subunit ribosomal RNA", at positions 28 to 507 of the family's 1533-position model. The record is from RNAcentral.